GAUGAAGAACGUAGCGAAAUGCGAUAAGUAAUGUGAAUUGCAGAAUUCAGUGAAUCAUCGAAUCUUUGAACGCACAUUGCGCCCCUCGGCACUCCGGGGGGCAUGCCUGUCCGAGCGUCAUUGCACCCCUCGAGCCCCCGUGGCUUGGUCGUGGGCCGCGCCCGCGCCGCCCUUCCCCCCCUCGCGGGGGAGGGCGGCGGGCGGGCUCGAAACGCAGUGGCGGCCCCCGGGCGACUUCCAGCGCGAUGACGUGUGUCGCUGCCGAAGCGUUCGCCCCGGGCGGCCCGCCAGGCAACCCCCGUCCUUCUAUGCGGUUGACCUCGGAUCAGGCAGGGAUACCCGCUGAACUUAAGCAUAUCAAUAAGCGGAGGA
Molecule: unclassified non-coding RNA, 372 nt
Filed under: soil metagenome
Description: partial contains 5.8S ribosomal RNA, internal transcribed spacer 2, and large subunit ribosomal RNA
Rfam family: 5.8S ribosomal RNA (bases 1-120)
Source: RNAcentral